Long non-coding RNA from Brassica napus (rape), 734 nucleotides. RefSeq lists it as uncharacterized. The transcript has 2 exons. The record is from RefSeq and is a predicted model, not a curated record. NCBI's taxonomy places the organism in Eukaryota, Viridiplantae, Streptophyta, Magnoliopsida, Brassicales, Brassicaceae.
UUCGGUCCAAUGACAUUUUCUCUAUCUCUCACACCGUUGACUUCACACAUCCUCUGCAAAUCCCAUGGAAACGCUUCCUUUCAACUUCACACCAUGCGAUAGAAAUGAAGUGGUGUGCUCGAAUCGAGAAUAGCAGUAGAGAAGAAUCAGAAAGCCAGUGGAGAUGCAGAGAAAUCCACCAUUUUCAUUAUUGCGGCAAAGAUUCACCGGAGAUAUAACCGUGGAAUCCUCAAGGUCUCCAUUUGUGACUCUCUUAGGUUUUCUUUGAGAUAGAUGAAUCACCGGAUAACCAUGGAUUCUGGCCAGAAGCUUGAUGUGAUUCAUUCUCGGUGCAUAUGAAGUAUAAACGGCAACGAAGCAAAGAGAUAUGAGCAUCAGGGGAUUCAAGGGUGAGAUGGGUUUCAAUUAGUGAAGGGAACAGCCAGAGGAUGAGACAUGGGCCAUAAUCAUUCCGGAGAUAAACGUCUUGCCGUGGUGGAGCGUUAACGUAUAGAUCUGAAGGAGAGGCCAAGCAAAGCUUUUCUUUAGUCGAUAGAAUCAAAGUCUAUUGUCUUGGUAUAUGAGGGGAAUCAGUAGACCAGAUAUGGGCCUUUGUCAUUACAGUGAAGAAUAUAGUAAAACAAUUGGGUUGGUAAUAGGUUGAGCCAUGUUUUAACAAGAAUGUAAAAAAUUGGAGAAUUAUAUCGGUUUCUCAUUACAAACAUUUGAUUUAUUUGGAUUUACAUAUGAUCUGU